This 1129-nucleotide long non-coding RNA is filed under the name Meriones unguiculatus (Mongolian gerbil). RNAcentral describes it as "lncRNA (ENSMUGG00000017630.1)". The record is from RNAcentral. Lineage: Eukaryota; Metazoa; Chordata; Mammalia; Rodentia; Muridae.
GUCAUUGCUUUUUAUUUGAUCACCUCUAGCUUCUGGGAGGAGCACGGUACCUCAGUGUAGGGAGAUUCCAAUUACACAUUCCUUUAAAAACAUCUUUAGAAAGCUUAUAAACUAGGUUUCUGUGUGGUUUUGCCAAACAGCCCUUAAUGUUAGUUAUCCCUUCUCUUCCUGCUCCUCCUGCCUAAUCUCCUUACUUGAACUUGCCUUUUGAGUUCCCUCUUUCCAGCCUUUCAGCCAGCUGACUUAUGGGUGCUGAGUUGGCAGUGUGAGUCCAGGCUCCCAGGUGACAGCUGUGGUGAUCUCCUGAGCCAGGGCCCAGAAGGCUUUGCUUCUCUGUUUCAUCUCUCGGAGGGAGGAGAGGGCAGCUGAUGCCAAUCACGCUGGUGUGUGGCUUUCAGAGAGCUGAUCUCUCCAGGAUCGGAGUGUCAAUAAACUCUUUCACUUUAUCUUCCUCUCGCCCCAAGCUCUGAGUUUGCAGCAAGCCAAGGUAUUUGCCAGAAGACAGUGCCUAGAAAGAACUGUAAUGAUUUCUACUUAUCUUUCUCAUAAUUAAUGGCUCACUUGAAUGCCUCAGACCUAUAGACAACUGGGGUCAGCUGCUACAUGGGAAUAACAUUGGAGGGAAAGAGGGCUGCUGUCCUGGAGGCAGCCUGAGCAUCAGAACUACGGUAUCACUUCUCCUUGCUCUGUCUCCCUCCUGACCCCUCCCCCUCCAGUAACAGUUAAAAUGCAUACAGGUACAUUGAUUGAAUACCAGUUUGGCUAUUUCCAUCUGAAGGAGCUUGGGGCAAUUUACUUAAACUUUUGAGUCCCAGUUGCCCAUGAAAUGGGAAAACAAAGAUGGUCAUUGUGAGAACAGAAGUUGUACCACGUGUACCCAGGUCAUGCCUGUCUCCAGCUCUUUGCAGGCAAGGGAGCACCUGAGAACCCCUCAUCUCUGAGUCCAGGUGAAGACGCAGGACCAGCAAACGAGGACCCCCGCCCCCUUCCCCGAGGCUGCUUUGGUUGGUGUUCUCUGUACAGCGGGGAUCGCGCUGUUUCUGGGGACCGCCCGCUGUGGAGAAGUCAGGGGUGGCCGAGAGUGAUGCUGGUGGCCGUCCCUCCUCCUGAGACCCUCUCCAGGAGCCCC